CACCCGAUGGCACAAGGUGUGCAUCUGCUAUUCUUUCCCAAAUAGUGUGUAGUUUAUGCAGAAGUUCCCUGUUCGAUUCGGGGUCGGGUGA
This is a non-coding RNA of Mycena latifolia, 91 nucleotides long. The record is from the annotation of a GenBank genome assembly. NCBI's taxonomy places the organism in Eukaryota, Fungi, Basidiomycota, Agaricomycetes, Agaricales, Mycenaceae.